UGGACAAAGAGCCACAGAGAAUGGUGAAACAGACUGCCACCCCUCAGACCUCCACCUCCAAGCUGGCCUGAGGUUCAUCACUGAGGCAAGUGUCGUCAGAGACCCCACGACAGUCUUUGAUUCUGCAACUCAUAAAAGCAGAACAAAUAGAGAAGAUCAUCAGAGACCUGAGGCAGGUCUUCCGUACCACCCAGGGCCACACGGCAGCGACCCUGGAAGAGCAGCUCCCCAGGCACCUGUACACAGAGCUAAACCCAGGGAUUUUGACGGUGUCUCACAUUGGAACUCCUAGGAACCCAUUAUGUAACCCAGGCUAACCUCAAAUUUGUAGUAAUGCUUCUGUCUCAGCCUCCCUAGUGUUGGGGCCUCCCUAGUAACAGCACAUGUGUCCCCACCAGCCUUUUUUUGCUCCAAUUAUACUCAACGUGGGUUAAGUUAUGUUCACUACAAAGCCUGAAGCCAAACCAAGCUUGUUUAGGGAAGAAUGAACAAGACAGCCCCACUCAUCAAAGAGCAGCAAAGCAGAUCCCUCUGUCCAGGAACUGAAGCAGGUCCCAUCCGGUGACCCCCACAAUGACAACACAGAGAGGACCCCAGUGUGUUUAUGGAGUCUCCAGGGCAUUCUGCAAACCAAACCCAAAGCCUGUCUGCCUAUGAUGUUCAUUCUUUGCCAGUUGCUAAGGUAAGAGCGAAUGCUAGGCAGUAGGGUUCAGGUAAGAGCAAAUGUCAGACAGUGGGGUUCAUGGCCACAGAAAGGACACCAUGGAAAUGUGUCAGAG
RNAcentral lists this long non-coding RNA (779 nucleotides) under Rattus norvegicus (Norway rat). Its description in RNAcentral is "long non-coding RNA NONRATT021903". Lineage: Eukaryota; Metazoa; Chordata; Mammalia; Rodentia; Muridae. The record is from RNAcentral.